UUUAUUGAAAUGGGCUUUCUUGAUUAUUCUGAUUUUAAUCAGAUUCUGUGUGAAUGUUGUGUCUCUAGACUUGAGAAUGUUGAUUUUUGAUGUGUGCUGAAAUCAAAUGCUCAGAAGUGUUGUGAGGCUUGUGCCUCUGCAGAGAAAUUCUGCAAAUCUGUGAGUAAUCCUCUUUAAUUCUUAUUUUCUUUUUCUUUUUUUUCUUCAAAUUUGUAAUGCACUCAUUUAUUAUUUCCUUAUUAUCUUCGCUUAUUCUUACCUCUUUCCAUUAUACUCUCACUACCACUAUUUCUAUAUGUAUAUAUAUAUAUCGAUGUAUGUAUUUCACACAUCUUCUUUCUCUUUCUUUUCUUCUUUAGUGAUUAGCUACACUACACUAC
RNAcentral lists this small RNA (380 nucleotides) under Histoplasma ohiense. RNAcentral describes it as "hypothetical lncRNA". Lineage: Eukaryota; Fungi; Ascomycota; Eurotiomycetes; Onygenales; Ajellomycetaceae. The record is from RNAcentral.